Molecule: long non-coding RNA, 332 nt
Organism: Helicoverpa armigera (cotton bollworm)
Lineage: Eukaryota; Metazoa; Arthropoda; Insecta; Lepidoptera; Noctuidae
Exons: 3
Source: RefSeq, a predicted model, not a curated record
CAGAACAGUGCAGACGUUUGUCGCGUUUCGCUGUCGCCGCGAAAUAAAGUUCGAUAUUUAAAAAGUUUCGCUCGCGAUGUCAGGCAUAUUGGAUUUUUCGUGAAACUUUCGUGUGUUGACGUUGAUUAGUUGCCUUUUUGUUGGUUUGACUAUGAUACUGUGGAAAAUGUGAUUCUGGCCACCGGAUUUUCAGAAUCAUCCGCUAUGGUCGGGAAGGUGUUGAUAUUCUUCGCAUCUGUCACAGCUUUUAAUAUAGAUGCGUUGCUUGUCCCCAACACACAUGACUUGGCCAAUGUUGACACACCGGCUACAAAGUACCACAUCAACACGUA